GGUUAAGCGACUAAGCGUACACGGUGGAUGCCCUGGCAGUCAGAGGCGAUGAAGGACGUGCUAAUCUGCGAUAAGCGUCGGUAAGGUGAUAUGAACCGUUAUAACCGGCGAUUUCCGAAUGGGGAAACCCAGUGUGAUUCGUCACACUAUCAUUAACUGAAUCCAUAGGUUAAUGAGGCGAACCGGGGGAACUGAAACAUCUAAGUACCCCGAGGAAAAGAAAUCAACCGAGAUUCCCCCAGUAGCGGCGAGCGAACGGGGAGCAGCCCAGAGCCUGAAUCAGUGUGUGUGUUAGUGGAAGCGUCUGGAAAGGCGUGCGAUACAGGGUGACAGCCCCGUACACAAAAAUGCACAUACUGUGAGCUCGAUGAGUAGGGCGGGACACGUGGUAUCCUGUCUGAAUAUGGGGGGACCAUCCUCCAAGGCUAAAUACUCCUGACUGACCGAUAGUGAACCAGUACCGUGAGGGAAAGGCGAAAAGAACCCCGGCGAGGGGAGUGAAAAAGAACCUGAAACCGUGUACGUACAAGCAGUGGGAGCACGCUUAGGCGUGUGACUGCGUACCUUUUGUAUAAUGGGUCAGCGACUUAUAUUCUGUAGCAAGGUUAACCGAAUAGGGGAGCCGAAGGGAAACCGAGUCUUAACUGGGCGUUAAGUUGCAGGGUAUAGACCCGAAACCCGGUGAUCUAGCCAUGGGCAGGUUGAAGGUUGGGUAACACUAACUGGAGGACCGAACCGACUAAUGUUGAAAAAUUAGCGGAUGACUUGUGGCUGGGGGUGAAAGGCCAAUCAAACCGGGAGAUAGCUGGUUCUCCCCGAAAGCUAUUUAGGUAGCGCCUCGUGAAUUCAUCUCCGGGGGUAGAGCACUGUUUCGGCAAGGGGGUCAUCCCGACUUACCAACCCGAUGCAAACUGCGAAUACCGGAGAAUGUUAUCACGGGAGACACACGGCGGGUGCUAACGUCCGUCGUGAAGAGGGAAACAACCCAGACCGCCAGCUAAGGUCCCAAAGUCAUGGUUAAGUGGGAAACGAUGUGGGAAGGCCCAGACAGCCAGGAUGUUGGCUUAGAAGCAGCCAUCAUUUAAAGAAAGCGUAAUAGCUCACUGGUCGAGUCGGCCUGCGCGGAAGAUGUAACGGGGCUAAACCAUGCACCGAAGCUGCGGCAGCGACGCUUAUGCGUUGUUGGGUAGGGGAGCGUUCUGUAAGCCUGUGAAGGUGUGCUGUGAGGUAUGCUGGAGGUAUCAGAAGUGCGAAUGCUGACAUAAGUAACGAUAAAG
Molecule: ribosomal RNA, 1277 nt
Filed under: Shigella flexneri
Lineage: Bacteria; Pseudomonadati; Pseudomonadota; Gammaproteobacteria; Enterobacterales; Enterobacteriaceae
Description: partial 23S ribosomal RNA
Rfam family: Bacterial large subunit ribosomal RNA
Source: RNAcentral